Molecule: ribosomal RNA, 301 nt
Filed under: uncultured bacterium
Lineage: Bacteria
Description: partial 16S ribosomal RNA
Rfam family: Bacterial small subunit ribosomal RNA
Source: RNAcentral
CAGUCGCCGCGGGAAUACGUAGGGUGCGAGCGUUAAUCGGAAUUACUGGGCGUAAAGCGUGCGCAGGCGGUUAUAUAAGACAGAUGUGAAAUCCCCGGGCUCAACCUGGGACCUGCAUUUGUGACUGUAUAGCUAGAGUACGGUAGAGGGGGAUGGAAUUCCGCGUGUAGCAGUGAAAUGCGUAGAUAUGCGGAGGAACACCGAUGGCGAAGGCGGCCCCCUGGACAAAGACUGACGCUCAGGUGCGAAAGCGUGGGGAGCAAACAGGAUUAGAUACCCGCGUAGUCCCUGUCUCUUAUAC